Canis lupus familiaris (dog) is the source of this 483-nucleotide long non-coding RNA. RefSeq lists it as uncharacterized. The transcript is spliced from 3 exons. Lineage: Eukaryota; Metazoa; Chordata; Mammalia; Carnivora; Canidae. The record is from RefSeq and is a predicted model, not a curated record.
CCGCAUCCCCGCUCCAUCUGGUCCCCGCCAGGACCCGCCACACCAGACACCUGCCACCAGCAACGCUUUUCGUCCUCCUGGCCAAGAAAGCCUCCAAAAGGACCCAGAAAAAAAGAAAACAAAGUGAAUCAAGCUGAGAAAACAGUUACUAACAGUUUUCCAACUCAACAGUCUACCUUUUCUAGAUGUUUAGAGUGGUGAUGGCGGGAGCAAGAAAUGCAGAACAGGAACCACAUGAGGUUAGAGGGACAGACUGCUCGGAGUAUUUCACAGUUCCUUUAAUGGCCAUGGGAAUUGUGCCAUGUGAUUUCUCAUUUACAAUCCCAGCUCCUUGAAUUCUUAAUCUUCUUCCCCAAAAGUUUUCUGUAAGAUUUUUAAAAAUUCAUUUAUGUAAAUGUUUAAACUUUUUUUUUAAGAUUUUAUUUAUUUAUUCAUGAGAAUACACAGAGAGGAGAGAGAGAGGCAGAGACACAGGCAGAGAGA